AGGCCCAGAAAAAGAGGCAGGAUCUGAUCUGCAGCCUCUGUGGCAGCUGUUGAUCAGUUGUUGCCUCUCUCUUUCUUUCCG
Molecule: non-coding RNA, 81 nt
Organism: Myotis brandtii (Brandt's bat)
Lineage: Eukaryota; Metazoa; Chordata; Mammalia; Chiroptera; Vespertilionidae
Source: Rfam